Molecule: ribosomal RNA, 497 nt
Filed under: uncultured bacterium
Lineage: Bacteria
Description: partial 16S ribosomal RNA
Rfam family: Bacterial small subunit ribosomal RNA
Source: RNAcentral
GAUGAACGCUGGCGGCGUGCCUAAUACAUGCAAGUCGAGCGAACAGACGAGGAGCUUGCUCCUCUGACGUUAGCGGCGGACGGGUGAGUAACACGUGGAUAACCUACCUAUAAGACUGGGAUAACUUCGGGAAACCGGAGCUAAUACCGGAUAAUAUAUUGAACCGCAUGGUUCAAUAGUGAAAGACGGUUUUGCUGUCACUUAUAGAUGGAUCCGCGCCGCAUUAGCUAGUUGGUAAGGUAACGGCUUACCAAGGCAACGAUGCGUAGCCGACCUGAGAGGUGGAUCGGCCACACUGGAACUGAGACACGGUCCAGACUCCUACGGGAGGCAGCAGUAGGGAAUCUUCCGCAAUGGGCGAAAGCUUGACGGAGCAACGCCGCGUGAGUGAUGAAGGUCUUCGGAUCGUAAAACUCUGUUAUUAGGGAAGAACAAAUGUGUAAGUAACUAUGCACGUCUUGACGGUACCUAAUCAGAAAGCCACGGCUAACUACGUG